This 485-nucleotide ribosomal RNA is filed under the name uncultured bacterium. Its description in RNAcentral is "partial 16S ribosomal RNA". It matches the Rfam family "Bacterial small subunit ribosomal RNA", at positions 30 to 506 of the family's 1533-position model. The record is from RNAcentral.
AUUGAACGCUGGCGGCAUGCCUUACACAUGCAAGUCGAACGGCAGCACGGGUGCUUGCACCUGGUGGCGAGUGGCGAACGGGUGAGUAAUACAUCGGAACAUGUCCUGUAGUGGGGGAUAGCCCGGCGAAAGCCGGAUUAAUACCGCAUACGAUCUACGGAUGAAAGCGGGGGACCUUCGGGCCUCGCGCUAUAGGGUUGGCCGAUGGCUGAUUAGCUAGUUGGUGGGGUAAAGGCCUACCAAGGCGACGAUCAGUAGCUGGUCUGAGAGGACGACCAGCCACACUGGGACUGAGACACGGCCCAGACUCCUACGGGAGGCAGCAGUGGGGAAUUUUGGACAAUGGGCGAAAGCCUGAUCCAGCAAUGCCGCGUGUGUGAAGAAGGCCUUCGGGUUGUAAAGCACUUUUGUCCGGAAAGAAAUCCUUGGCCCUAAUACGGUCGGGGGAUGACGGUACCAGAAGAAUAAGCACCGGCUAACUACGU